MicroRNA precursor from Medicago truncatula (barrel medic), 115 nucleotides. It matches the Rfam family "MIR2593 microRNA precursor family". The record is from Rfam. NCBI's taxonomy places the organism in Eukaryota, Viridiplantae, Streptophyta, Magnoliopsida, Fabales, Fabaceae.
AUGUAACCAACUUUUCACUUUUUAGAUUCAUUCAAUAAAUGAUGUAUGUGGUCUAUAAUAUGAACCACAUACAUAAUUUAUUAAAUGAAUCUAAAAAGUGAAAAAUUGGUUACAU